Molecule: ribosomal RNA, 466 nt
Filed under: uncultured bacterium
Lineage: Bacteria
Description: bacterial SSU rRNA
Rfam family: Bacterial small subunit ribosomal RNA
Source: RNAcentral
GAUGAACGCUGGCGGCGUGCCUAAUACAUGCAAGUCGAGCGGUAAGGCUCUACACUUAGUAUUUUAUCGUGAUAAUUCUAUUGUGAUAAUAUCGCAAGAUUAUUGUUAAAUCGAACCAACUCAAUCCUAGGCUAGGAAAGAGGGCAGCAAGAGGAGAUCGAAUCCUAAGUGUAGAGUACACGAGCGGCGGACGGCUGAGUAACGCGUAGGAACGUACCCCAAAGUGAGGGAUAAGCACCAGAAAUGGUGUCUAAUACCGCAUGUGCUCCACGGAGUAAAGCUUCGGCGCUUUGGGAACGGCCUGCGUCUGAUUAGCUUGUUGGUGAGGUAAAAGCUCACCAAGGCGACGAUCAGUAGCUGGUCUGAGAGGAUGAUCAGCCAGACUGGGACUGAGACACGGCCCAGACUCCUACGGAGGCAGCAGUAGGGAAUUUUCCACAAUGGACGAAAGUCUGAUGGAGCAACG